ACGAACGCUGGCGGCGUGCUUAACCCAUGCAAGUCGAACGGAAAGGCCCUGCUUUCAGGGUACUCGAGUGGCUAACGGGUGAGUAACACGUGGGUGAUCUGCCCUGCACUUCGGGAUAAGCCUGGGAAACUGGGUCUAAUACCGGAUAGGAGCCAUUUUUAGCUUGAUGGUUGGAAAGUUUUUUUGGUGUAGGAUGAGCUCGCGGCCUAUCAGCUUGUUGUUGGGGUAAGGGCCUACCAAGGCGGCGGCGGCUAGCCGGCCUGGGAGGGAGGACGGCAACAUUGGGACUGGGACUGGGACCAGGCCCCGACGGGUGCGGGAGGUGGCAGUGAUGAAGAAUGGGGCACAGGCCAGAUCCAGCGCCACCGCUGGGGGGUUAGCGACCUAGGGCUUAUAGUCGCAUUGCGCUAGGAACGAGGCUUUUUGUGACGGUACCUGGAGAAGAAGCACCGGCUAACUCCGUG
Molecule: ribosomal RNA, 464 nt
Filed under: uncultured bacterium
Lineage: Bacteria
Description: partial 16S ribosomal RNA
Rfam family: Bacterial small subunit ribosomal RNA
Source: RNAcentral